RNAcentral lists this ribosomal RNA (550 nucleotides) under uncultured bacterium. Its description in RNAcentral is "bacterial SSU rRNA". It matches the Rfam family "Bacterial small subunit ribosomal RNA", at positions 355 to 896 of the family's 1533-position model. The record is from RNAcentral.
UAGGGAAUCUUCGGCAAUGGACGGAAGUCUGACCGAGCAACGCCGCGUGAGUGAAGAAGGUUUUCGGAUCGUAAAGCUCUGUUGUAAGAGAAGAACGAGUGUGAGAGUGGAAAGUUCACACUGUGACGGUAUCUUACCAGAAAGGGACGGCUAACUACGUGCCAGCAGCCGCGGUAAUACGUAGGUCCCGAGCGUUGUCCGGAUUUAUUGGGCGUAAAGCGAGCGCAGGCGGUUAGAUAAGUCUGAAGUUAAAGGCUGUGGCUUAACCAUAGUACGCUUUGGAAACUGUUUAACUUGAGUGCAAGAGGGGAGAGUGGAAUUCCAUGUGUAGCGGUGAAAUGCGUAGAUAUAUGGAGGAACACCGGUGGCGAAAGCGGCUCUCUGGCUUGUAACUGACGCUGAGGCUCGAAAGCGUGGGGAGCAAACAGGAUUAGAUACCCUGGUAGUCCGCGCCGUAAACGAUGAGUGCUAGGUGUUAGACCCUUUCCGGGGUUUAGUGCCGCAGCUAACGCAUUAAGCACUCCGCCUGGGGAGUACGACCGCAAGGUUG